Molecule: ribosomal RNA, 2468 nt
Filed under: Verrucaria hydrela
Lineage: Eukaryota; Fungi; Ascomycota; Eurotiomycetes; Verrucariales; Verrucariaceae
Description: bacterial SSU rRNA
Rfam family: Eukaryotic small subunit ribosomal RNA (bases 1-2033)
Source: RNAcentral
AACCGUGGUAAUUCUAGAGCUAAUACAUGCUAAAAACCCCGACUUCCGGAAGGGGUGUAUUUAUUAGAUAAAAAACCAAUGCCCUCCGGGGCUCCUUGGUGAUUCAUGAUAACUUAACGAAUCGCAUGGCCUUGCGCCGGCGAUGGUUCAUUCAAAUUUCUGCCCUAUCAACUUUCGAUGGUAGGAUAGUGGCCUACCAUGGUCUCAACGGGUAACGGGGAAUUAGGGUUCUAUUCCGGAGAGGGAGCCUGAGAAACGGCUACCACAUCCAAGGAAGGCAGCAGGCGCGCAAAUUACCCAAUCCCAAUACGGGGAGGUAGUGACAAUAAAUACUGGUACAGGGCUCUUUCGGGUCUUGUAAUUGGAAUGAGUACAAUCUAAAUCCCUUGCCUUUAACGGUAGUCGUUGGGGGAUUUCAAACCAGUCGUCAAUGUUGUAGGCGGCAACGUCCUGUCUCUUCGAGAACCUUGAGCUCAACAGCGCCUAUGAGGAACUUGAAGCCUAGCCAACGCUGGGUUCAGAGACUAUACACGGGCGGGUGGGUGACCACUAAUGACAUAGCCCAACCCUCCGCCGAUCUGGUCGAGGUAAUUGUGUAACGAGGAACAAUUGGAGGGCAAGUCUGGUGGAAUUUUUUGUUCCGCUGACGCCAGACUGAAAGGUGAAAAAAUGCUAUUUGAUACAUCUCACCUUGAGUAGAUUGGGCGCUCCGCCUAUCUGCAAGAUGAUCGGUACGGGGAAAGUCUUAGGCCCUCUGUGGUCGCUUAUCCCGUGGUUUAAGACGAGCUGGUGAAUCGGCUGGUCUUAUUCCAUAACGCACGCAAGGUCAUCGCCAUUUUACUCGUUACCGGGCAAUAAUGGUUCAGGUACGUGCUAAUCCCACCCGUAGAGGGAGUCGCGAUCUCUAACAGGGACGUGAUUUGGGGAGGAAGGUGUCAGGGCCGUCGCAGGGGCGGUCCUAGCGCCAACGUUGACCCGAGUAUGGAGGUCUUCUAUUCUUGUAGCUGUGGUGCCCUCUCCCAUGUCUGCUGUCCUGGUUGGGCCUCCCGUCGGGUGAAGAUGGUCUGCUACAAUAAUGGUGUUCCUCCACUUAAAAGAUGUCUUUCUCUUCAUCCCGUCUCAUCUUGUCGGCUUUCUAGUCAUUCUGUCCGCAGUCUUGCCUAAAAGAGCCAAAAUGAAACGUGCUGCUCCCGUUGAAGUUGAUCAAAAUGUCCCACGUCUAGCAAGUUCUCCAGCCAAGAAAGGAUAAAGUGUCUUAGAAUUUUCUAAAGUACGCUUAUCUGCAUCGGGAGAUUACAGGGAUGGUUGAUUAAACGAGAUGCUUCUGGAGGUAAUUAUGACGUUUUGGAAAUCAACGUUCCGGAAGCAAUGCUUCUCUAUCGCGUCACAACGCGCCUUGAGAAGGCUGCAAUGGUUCCUCUAUCAUGGCCAGCAGCCGCGGUAAUUCCAGCUCCAAUAGCGUAUAUUAAAGUUGUUGCAGUUAAAAAGCUCGUAGUUGAACUUUGGGUCUGGCUGAUCUGUCUUCCUAACCGUUGUACGGAUUCGGUCGGACCUUUCCUUCUGGGGAAACCUAUGUCCUUCAUUGGGUGUAGUGGGGAACCAGGACUUUUACCUUGAAAAAAUUAGAGUGUUCAAAGCAGGCCUUUGCUCGAAUACAUUAGCAUGGAAUAAUAGAAUAGGACAGUGGUUCUAUUUUGUUGGUUUCUAGGACCGCUGUAAUGAUUAAUAGGGAUAGUCGGGGGCGUCAGUAUUCAAUUGUCAGAGGUGAAAUUCUUGGAUUUAUUGAAGACUAACUAUUGCGAAAGCAUUCGCCAAGGAUGUUUUCAUUAAUCAGUGAACGAAAGUUAGGGGAUCGAAGACGAUCAGAUGGAAAUGCACCACUGCAGGAUUUUUGUUUGAAAGUGGGUUAAAUAGCUGCUUUGGCGAUCAUAUACUUGAAUUUUAUACAAUUAUGCAUUGGUUAUCACCCUGAUCGGGAUUACUUCCCCAAGGGUGUCCAACAAGCAAGUGGAAAUCAUUCUGGUAUAUCAUCUUCUGGGGCAAGCAUUUAUGAUCCAUCCUCUAAACGAAUCAUAAACAUGGGUGUCCGGUCGUCCACAGCUAAAAGCUAGUCCUUUGGGGCAACACUGUCUAGUUGAGGAGUUUCCUAAUUAGGGUUCUAAUCAGGGUCAUCCCCAGCCAAGUUCAACGUUAUAAUGUUGGAGGUUAUCCUACCGGUUCAGAAUCACCGUCGAUAGCGGGUGCCUUUCUAACAUAGGCAGAGGUGGUUUCUCUCCUGAACGAGUGCAUUUAAUGGCGAACGCAGUCUACAGACUGUUUGACGGUGGGCUAGCAAUAUGUAAAUAUUCUAGUUUAAGAUAUAGUCGGUCUAACAUGAAAUAUGUAUGGAGCACACGCAGAUACCGUCGUAGUCUUAACCAUAAACUAUGCCGACUAGGGAUCGGACGGUGUUUUUUUAUAUGACCCGU